AAGGGGAGCGCUGGAUCCUGGGCUGUGUUCCCCGGCGUCCUGGGCUCCGGGGUUUGUGCUGCUGGAAUCGUGCUCCCAGGGCCGCGCAGCCCCCU
This 95-nucleotide microRNA precursor is filed under the name Canis lupus familiaris (dog). RNAcentral describes it as "mir-8799 microRNA precursor family". It matches the Rfam family "mir-8799 microRNA precursor family". Lineage: Eukaryota; Metazoa; Chordata; Mammalia; Carnivora; Canidae. The record is from Rfam by way of RNAcentral. RNAcentral also lists the same sequence under 1 other name.